Long non-coding RNA from Daucus carota subsp. sativus, 937 nucleotides. RefSeq lists it as uncharacterized. Lineage: Eukaryota; Viridiplantae; Streptophyta; Magnoliopsida; Apiales; Apiaceae. The transcript has 2 exons. The record is from RefSeq and is a predicted model, not a curated record.
UACUGCAUAUGAAUUUACGAGGCAUUAAUCCAUGCUCUGUACACGCUUAUUGGCCUAUAACUAAUUGGACUUGUUAAACCAAUUGGUAUAACCACUUCCUAAACACUGACCGAGCAAAUGAUUAGUUAAAAGACAGCAUCAUACCACAUUCUGACUUCACUUAUAAUACGAGAACUUAAUUAACUAAUAGUUUUGGUGGUUUGGACAAUUCAGUAUCCUCUACUUCUGUAGCUGGCUUCAAUUAGUGGGCUAGAUAAGCCGUUGGGUAGAGGCAUAUAAUCCUACCAUACAAAUCUGCAGAUUCAUAUAUAUAAAUCCUUCAAAGAAGCUUGAAAGAGUAAUAUCUGUCAUCUUGUCAAGCAAAUGAAUGGAAGAACGAUUGCUUUGAUUUUAUUCGUCUGGGCUCUCCUCACGGUGAUAACUCCAACACUUGUUCGCAUGUCUGCAUCAGCUAAACUCUUGGAUGGUAUUCAAACAAGAGGAAUGAAGAGCAGAUUGCUGUCCAGAAGGGCACUCAUGGAUACAAGAUUUAAUGAAUUGCCAUCACAUGAGCCAGAACCAGUACAAGGACCUGCACCAGGACCAGCACCAGGUGUGUUUUGGCGAUCCAAACUUGGUUUAUGCUCGAUGUGCUAUUGCCCAGAAGUGAAUGGGAGGCCAUGUCUCUGUUGUUCGCAGUAGAUGUAUGUUUUUUGGGGCCUUAUAUUGAAGAUUAGCACGGGAUGCCUAAAGUCCGAAUAUGACAGUCCCGAGCAGCAGAUGUGAACUGUUUGCAUGAAUCUGUCAAGUUAGCGUUAUUAUCUGGAAGCGUACAUUGUAGAUUUGUCAUUCACUCCUCUCUUAGCAUGUUUAGUGUUAAUAAAAAUUACUAAGAGUUUGAUUAGGUGAACAUGUACAUGCAGGAUGACAUUUAGUAAUGAGGACUCAUCUUCUUACC